UUAUGUAUACUCAUUUUCUUCUCUGUUUGUUUAUGUAUUUGGGCAAAGUUUUGAUCUGACUUGUUAUAUGGGGGCAGGUCAAGUUCUCAUAUAAAAUUGAGUCAACAGUUUUUAGUGCCUGAAUUAUUUUAUGUUUAUGCAACAAUCCUGAUUUCGUGGCAAAGAGUAAGAAAUAGGCUCACUGCUCUCCAUACUUGUCUGAGUAAAGUGAUCAUGAAGUUCCUGAUGUUCAUAUAUGACAAGUCGGGGUUCUUACAGCUCAUACAACCUCCUAUCAUUGCUUCUUUGUCCUUUCUCUAUUACUAAGCUUCAAGCUUGAUUGGUGCAUAUCAUGAAGUUCCUGAUGUUCAUAUAUGACAAGUCGGGUUCUUACAGCUCAUACAACCUCCUAUCAUUGCUUAUAGAUUAUAUACUUUCGAGAGCGCAAACAUUGAGUUGGAAGAAUUUUCAUGCAAAGCGAAUAGUGAAAGAAGUAGAAAACUGAAUGUCGUCCACUCUUUUGAUCAUAACUCGAGUUAUACAACGCCAAAUGCAGCGUUUCAAAUUGGGUUGGAUUCUAGACUUCAAGAGCUUUCCAACGAGUGGUCACUCGCCUAAUUCCGACUUAUAACGAAGGAGAUAUGGUGUUUUUAAGAUACAGGAUCGUGCAGUUUGACGAGCAGAUCGCCCGAUCGGGCGGCCCAUUGCCUGAUCGGGCGCGACAACCCCUGGGCGCGGAUUUUUGCUUUGUUUCCGGUUUUUUUUCUUCUACUUUUGGGCAAGACUAUAAAUAUAGCCCUUAGACAUAUUAUUUGGGAUCUUAUUUUUUUUCUAGUACCUUAGUUUAUUGCUUAGUUUUUAUUCUUUCUCUAAACUUUUGUUAAUUACUUUUAUUAUUGCUUUCAAGUUUCAAACUUUAAAUUUCAUCCUUUGUUCUUCAA
Molecule: long non-coding RNA, 920 nt
Organism: Spinacia oleracea (spinach)
Lineage: Eukaryota; Viridiplantae; Streptophyta; Magnoliopsida; Caryophyllales; Amaranthaceae
Exons: 4
Source: RefSeq, a predicted model, not a curated record